Molecule: ribosomal RNA, 623 nt
Filed under: Corynoneura sp. 2 SRM-2010
Lineage: Eukaryota; Metazoa; Arthropoda; Insecta; Diptera; Chironomidae
Description: eukaryotic LSU rRNA
Rfam family: Eukaryotic large subunit ribosomal RNA
Source: RNAcentral
UCUAUGGGCACAAACUUAAAGAACCCAAAUAUCUAAACGGGAAGAUUCAAUAUUGCUCUUAACAAGCAAUGUGCACUUCUUCCUUAGUAAGACGCUGUGAUCCAUUAGAAAUUGAUUGUNUCAACAAUCAUAAGGCUAUCAAAAGAGCGGCGUGAAGUUCACUAAUGCGACUAAUACAGUCUUUUGGCUGUGUCUAUCGUCUGGUGAGCACGCCUGCUUCUGAAAUAGCUGUCUGAUGGAUUUUAAGGAUUGUAUCAUUGAUGUUUCGGCAUCACUCACACGUGAGCAUAGAUAUGUGUCUGAUCGACAGCGGUUAAAUUUGGGAUACCUUUUAGACCCGUCUUGAAACACGGACCAAGGAGUUUAUCUAAUACGCGAGUAAAUGAGUGUGUUGAAAACUUAUUUGCGCAAAUAAAUUAACUGUUUUAAUGGGAUUACGAGCAGUGCAUUUAUGCUAUGCUCCUCCAUCCCGGAGUAUUUUCAUCAACAUAUGCUUUCGGGUAUAUGGAAAAUAUAUCAUGAGCGUACUGGAUAUGACCCGAAAGAUGGUGAACUAUGCCUGAUCAGGUUGAAGCCAGGGGAAACCCUGGUGGAAGACCGAAGCAAUUCUGACGUGCAAAUCG